AGGGAAACCGAGUCUUAACUGGGCGUUAAGUUGCAGGGUAUAGACCCGAAACCCGGUGAUCUAGCCAUGGGCAGGUUGAAGGUUGGGUAACACUAACUGGAGGACCGAACCGACUAAUGUUGAAAAAUUAGCGGAUGACUUGUGGCUGGGGGUGAAAGGCCAAUCAAACCGGGAGAUAGCUGGUUCUCCCCGAAAGCUAUUUAGGUAGCGCCUCGUGAACUCAUCUUCGGGGGUAGAGCACUGUUUCGGCUAGGGGGUCAUCCCGACUUACCAACCCGAUGCAAACUGCGAAUACCGAAGAAUGUUAUCACGGGAGACACACGGCGGGUGCUAACGUCCGUCGUGAAGAGGGAAACAACCCAGACCGCCAGCUAAGGUCCCAAAGUCACAGUUAAGUGGGAAACGAUGUGGGAAGGCUCAGACAGCCAGGAUGUUGGCUUAGAAGCAGCCAUCAUUUAAAGAAAGCGUAAUAGCUCACUGGUCGAGUCGGCCUGCGCGGAAGAUGUAACGGGGCUAAACUGUGCACCGAAGCUGCGGCAGCGACGCUUAUGCGUUGUUGGGUAGGGGAGCGUUCUGUAAGCCUGCGAAGGUGUCCUGUGAGGGAUGCUGGAGGUAUCAGAAGUGCGAAUGCUGACAUAAGUAACGAUAAUGCGGGUGAAAAGCCCGCUCGCCGGAAGACCAAGGGUUCCUGUCCAACGUUAAUCGGGGCAGGGUGAGUCGACCCCUAAGGCGAGGCCGAAAGGCGUAGUCGAUGGGAAACGGGUUAAUAUUCCCGUACUUGGUGUUAC
This 788-nucleotide ribosomal RNA is filed under the name Salmonella enterica subsp. enterica serovar Kentucky. RNAcentral's name for it is "partial 23S ribosomal RNA". It matches the Rfam family "Bacterial large subunit ribosomal RNA", at positions 670 to 1454 of the family's 2925-position model. The record is from RNAcentral. Lineage: Bacteria; Pseudomonadati; Pseudomonadota; Gammaproteobacteria; Enterobacterales; Enterobacteriaceae.